CUUUCUAUGAAUAUGUAAAUUGCUGUUUUGGAAGCAGCUUAAUACUUUUUUUGAAGAGGCUUUUACAAUCUUUAUCACAUUUACUGUCUUAUAAUUUCAUUUUUAGAAAUUUAGUUUAAGAAAAUAAUUCAGAAUUAACGGAAGAAUUCAUAUGGCCAAAUAUGUCUGUAAAAGUGACAAACUAGAGGUAAUUCAAAUAUAUUACAAUAAACGGCAUUGUUAAAUAAAAUUUGGCACGUCCAUUUAAUAAGUAUGUUUUGCUAUUAAAAUAAUGCUAAUGAAAGUUUAUAAUGAACUUAUAAAUAUGCUUCUGUUUCAAUAUAAAGAAGAAAAGUAUAAUACUUCACAUAUAAAAUUAUUUUUACUAAAUAAAAAUGCACAUAUAACAAAUAAUGAAGCUAAAUAUACCCCCAAAUAUAGUGGUACAUAAUUAACUCUGGGUAAUUAAAUCAUAGGUUGUUUUGUUUGUUUGCUUGUUUCUUUUGCCUCUUAUACUUUUCUUUUUCUCCAAGAAGUGUUAAUUACCUGUAUUAUAAAAUUGUUAUUUGUAAAGGUUUAACACUUUGCUAACACUGUUUUUUAGACUUGCUUCUGAAUUACAGAAUUGGCUCUUUAGCGAUUGAUCACAGUGAUCUGGGUAAUCACAGUACAUGUCAGGCUCUGCCUUUACAUUCUCUUGCCUCACUCCUACACAUAUUUCAUGCACUGCUACCUUUCUGUUGUGCUAUUUUGUGACACAAUAUUUUGAGACAAAACCAUUACUUACACGCAGAUACUAAGUGACAUUAGUUUAUCUCCAACUGGGCAAUGUAAUUGCAACAAAACCCCCAGCUAACCAAAAACGAAUAAUAACUUCUGCUCACAUAAAAUGAAAUGUCCAUUUCACUAAUCACAUGCUGUCUGGAACCUCUGUUCUCCAUGGUAACUACCUGGCUUUCCUAGAUAAGCAUUUCUGAUUCAAGAACACAAUUGGCAGGCCUGCCUCAGCUUAAUUGACCUAGUUUGGUGAAAGUUCUGCAGCCUGAAUGUGACAUGUCACUGCUAAAAUAAAAUUUCAAAUAUUUCCUCAGGACAACGCACAGCAUGAAUAUUUGGGUAACACAACCAGAAUGCUGUAUUAGAAUAUUAUAUACGUCUGAAUUCUACAAAGCUUCCUGUCAUCAAUUGUAUUUAAGAGGAAAUUAAAGAACAAAAAUGAAUUAUAUCUACUCAUAUUUGAAUACAUAAAUUACCUUCAUUUACUUAAUUUUUAAUAUACAGGAUCCUAAAUAUUAAGCAGUAUCAGUCAAAAAUAAAACUAUAAAGUGAAGAAAUGAGUUGCAAAUACUAUACAGCCUAGACACCAAUAAGUAACAUAGUUUAAAAAACAUUUCUAGCAUGACUCUAAAAUUGUUUGCAGCCAAUAUGGUGUUGAGAGAAGCUGAGUGGUGGGAGAAGCUGAGGCAGGGCUUGCAUGCCUGACAUAAUGUAAAAGAGUGUUGGAAAAUGUCCGGAGCCAGGGUCUAAAACCUCUCGUUGCCUUUGGAACACCAAGCUCUAUGCCAAAGGGUGGAAGGCUGUGCUGAUGCACCAAAAUCUAAACCCAGGGCAUAAAACCCCUUGUGGCUUGGAGAGAAUCCAGGGCUCGAGGCAUAAAACCCCUCACGGCCUCUGGAAUGUGUCUAGACUUGCUGGAUCCUUGCUCCUUGCUCUCCCAGGAUCAAUUGCAUCUUAAGUUAAAAGAACCUGCUCUCCAUUAUCUCAAGUAGCAGAAUAUGUUCCAUAUGCUUCAAAGGAAAUGCUAAACUGUCACAGCUGUAAAUCAUGCACUUGCCCUUUCCAGCCCCACAUUGUCACCACCUGUUUCUUAGUUUGAUCACCAAUAAAUAGUCUGGGCUUCUGGAGCUCAGCGCCUUCACAACCUCCAUACUUGCAUUGACCCCCUGGACCCACUUUCUCCUUCAAACUAUAUUUUCUCAUUCCUUUGACUCUCCUGAUUUCAUUGCCCCCACGACCUGGUGUUGAGUCUGAUCACCCCAACAC
Long non-coding RNA from Cercocebus atys (sooty mangabey), 2022 nucleotides. RefSeq lists it as uncharacterized. The record is from RefSeq and is a predicted model, not a curated record. Lineage: Eukaryota; Metazoa; Chordata; Mammalia; Primates; Cercopithecidae. The transcript has 2 exons.